GCCGGGUGUGGUGGCGGGCGCCUGUAGUCCCAGCUACUCAGGAGGCUGAGGCAGAAGAAUGGCGUGAACCUGGGAGGCGGAGCUUGCAGUGAGCCGAGAUUGUGCCACUGCAUUCCAGCCUGGGCGACAGAGCAAGACUCCGUUAUUUAUUUAUUUAUUUAUUUGAGAUGGAGUCUUGCUCCGUCGCCCAGGCUGGAGUGCAGUGGCAUGAUCUUGGCUCACUGCAACCUCCGCCUCUCAGGUUCAAGUGAUUCUUCUGCCUCAG
This 265-nucleotide signal recognition particle RNA is filed under the name Gorilla gorilla gorilla (western lowland gorilla). RNAcentral describes it as "Metazoan signal recognition particle RNA". It matches the Rfam family "Metazoan signal recognition particle RNA". From Rfam's summary of the family: The signal recognition particle (SRP) is a universally conserved ribonucleoprotein. It is involved in the co-translational targeting of proteins to membranes. The record is from Rfam by way of RNAcentral. Lineage: Eukaryota; Metazoa; Chordata; Mammalia; Primates; Hominidae.